GCCCACCAAGACUAUUACAGGUACGGGCUCUGAGAGGAGUAGCCCGGAGAUGGGUACUGAGACACGGACCCAGGCCCUAUGGGGCGCAGCAGGCGAGAAAACUUUGCAAUGUGCGAAAGCACGACAAGGUUAAUCCGAGUGAUUUGUGCUAAACGAAUCUUUUGUUAGUCCUAGAAACACUAACGGAUAAGGGGUGGGCAAGUUCUGGUGUCAGCCGCCGCGGUAAAACCAGCACCUCAAGUGGUCAGGAUGAUUAUUGGGCCUAAAGCAUCCGUAGCCGGCUCUGUAAGUUUUCGGUUAAAUCUGUACGCUUAACGUACAGGCUGCCGGGAAUACUGCAAAGCUAGGGAGUGGGAGAGGUAGACGGUACUCGGUAGGAAGUGGUAAAAUGCUUUGAUCUAUCGAUGACCACCUGUGGCGAAGGCGGUCUACCAGAACACGUCCGACGGUGAGGGAUGAAAGCUGGGGGAGCAAACCGGAUUAGAUACCCGGGUAGUCCCAGCUGUAAACUAUGCAAACUCAGUGAUGCAUUGGCUUGUGGCCAAUGCAGUGCUGCAGGGAAGCCGUUAAGUUUGCCGCCUGGGAAGUACGUACGCAAGUAUGAAACUUAAAGGAAUUGGCGGGGGAGCACCACAAGGGGUGAAGCCUGCGGUUCAAUUGGAGUCAACGCCGGG
RNAcentral lists this ribosomal RNA (674 nucleotides) under uncultured crenarchaeote. RNAcentral describes it as "bacterial SSU rRNA". It matches the Rfam family "Archaeal small subunit ribosomal RNA", at positions 247 to 922 of the family's 1478-position model. The record is from RNAcentral. Lineage: Archaea; Thermoproteati; Thermoproteota.